GCUUACCAUGCAGUCGAGGGGCAGCACGGGAGUAGCAAUACAACUGGUGGCGACCGGCGCACGGGUGAGUAACGCGUAUGCAACCUACCUAUCAGAGGGGAAUAACCCGGCGAAAGUCGGACUAAUACCGCAUAAAACAGGGGCACCGCAUGGUGAUAUUUGUUAAAGAAAUUCGCUGAUAGAUGGGCAUGCGUUCCAUUAGGUAGUUGGUGAGGUAACGGCUCACCAAGCCGACGAUGGAUAGGGGAACUGAGAGGUUGGUCCCCCACACUGGUACUGAGACACGGACCAGACUCCUACGGGAGGCAGCAGUGAGGAAUAUUGGUCAAUGGGCGGGAGCCUGAACCAGCCAAGUCGCGUGAAGGAAGAAGGAUCUAUGGUUCGUAAACUUCUUUUGCAGGGGAAUAAAGUGCAGGACGUGUCCUGUUUUGUAUGUACCCUGAGAAUAAGGAUCGGCUAACUCCGUGCCAGCAGCCGCGGUAAUACGGAGGAUCCGAGCGUUAUCCGGAUUUAUUGGGUUUAAAGGGUGCGUAGGUGGUUUGAUAAGUCAGCGGUGAAAGUUUGCAGCUUAACUGUAAAAAUGCCGUUGAAACUGUCGGACUUGAGUGUAAAUGAGGUAGGCGGAAUGCGUGGUGUAGCGGUGAAAUGCAUAGAUAUCACGCAGAACUCCGAUUGCGAAGGCAGCUUACUAAGCUACAACUGACACUGAAGCACGAAAGCGUGGGGAUCAAACAGGAUUAGAUACCCUGGUAGUCCACGCAGUAAACGAUGAUUACUAGCUGUUUGCGAUACACAGUAAGCGGCACAGCGAAAGCGUUAAGUAAUCCACCUGGGGAGUACGCCGGCAACGGUGAAACUCAAAGGAAUUGACGG
This 873-nucleotide ribosomal RNA is filed under the name uncultured bacterium. Its description in RNAcentral is "bacterial SSU rRNA". It matches the Rfam family "Bacterial small subunit ribosomal RNA", at positions 46 to 916 of the family's 1533-position model. The record is from RNAcentral.